UAGUAAUUUGAUUGAGUUCAUAUUUUGUAUAAGGUUUGCUCUAUGAGCAAACUUAAGUGAGUAGAAGGAGGGUGUUGCGGUGGUGGUAAUGUGACUGAGGGGUUGGCUUGGCGGCGGGAGGAGUUGAUGAAGAAGCAUUGAGGAUGGGUACGUUGAAGAACUGUAGAUAAAUUGGAGAUAAUGGUGGAAGAAAGAGAAAAAUGUAGAGAUAGUUAAUGGUGAGAGAAAUAGUAAGAUGGGUACGUUGAAGAUAAUGGUGGAAGAAAGAGAAAAAUGUGGAGAUAGUUAAGGGUGAGAGAAAUAAGAAGAGAGAGGAAAAAAAUGUAGAUUCAACUUCACGCCGUUACAAACUAUUUAAUGGAAGGGACUUAUUAAAACCAAAAUCAGAAACUUGGGAGCCCAAUUAAAUCACUUUUAAAAGCGGGUAUCAAACGGAAAUUCAGCCCCAAACUUGGGGACUAAAUAGGUAUUUAAGCCUAUAAAUUACUACAACUACACGAACACUCUCUGGGUGAUGAAAUGGAAAAUGUUUGUUAACGAAAGUGGAGGGGGUGGAAGGGGGAUGUUUGUUAACGGAAGUGGAGGGAGGGAGGGGGUGNGGGCUUACCGGUGAAAGUGAGAGCGAAAGGAAAAGUGAAAGUGAGAAAGGAUUAGAAUUAGGGUUUUAAAAAUUAACAAGUAAAAUUAGUAAAAGUAAAAAGUAAAAAAAGUAGAUUUGAAGUUUUAGAAAAACUGGAGAGGUGUAGGGAGAAGAUUGGAUGGUGGAGAAGGCAUCACUCAUAUCAAAAAGGGUUGGGUUGGAUUGCUAAUUGAAAGUCUAAUUAAUAUCACAUGAAAACAAAUUAAAAUCUUAAUUUUUUACAUGAAAGCGAGCUGAUGAUAAGUUGUCGGGUUAACUCUACUGACCAUACUUUUAAUGUGAAGUAUAAGUUUAAUAUUGUUAACAUUUUUAAUAAAAAAUAUCAAUUUUAUUGAAACUAUUAUUAUACGUGUAUAUAAAAAAGUUAAAUUUUCUUAACUUUGAGAGAGACGAAAUUGCCCUAAUUUUUUUUUAAAAUAUGAUUAAAUUAAGAUAAAAUACAAAUAAAAUAAUUAAAUUGAAAUUUUACUCAUGACAUUAUUUUCAUAGUAACACGUGAUAUUAUCAUUACACAUAACAAGAUCCUCAUUUUGACACAUAACAAAGUUUUUUAUUAAAAUAUAUAAAUAAAUAAAUUUAAAAAAAAAAUAACACGGAAUGACAGUAAGUUAAUGUUGUUAAUAUUAUAAUAACAGAAAUAAUCAAAGUGAGAACUUGAUUGAGAUUUCAAUACAACCACAAAGAUUAUGGGA
Molecule: long non-coding RNA, 1332 nt
Filed under: Vigna radiata
Lineage: Eukaryota; Viridiplantae; Streptophyta; Magnoliopsida; Fabales; Fabaceae
Description: long non-coding RNA (VRAD_LNC009105)
Source: RNAcentral